CAGGGGAGACUGGAAUUCCUGGUGUAGCGGUGAAAUGCGCAGAUAUCAGGAGGAACACGGUGGCGAAGGCGGGUCUCUGGGUAGUAACUGACGCUGAGGAGCGAAAGCGGUGGGUAGCGAACAGGAUUAGAUACCUUGGUAGUCCACGCGUAAACGGUGGGUACUAGGUGUGGGGCUCAUUUCACGAGUUCCGUGCGGUAGCUAACGCAUUAAGUACCCCGCUUGGGGAGUACGGCCGCAAGGCUAAAACUCAAAGGAAUUGACGGGGGCCCGCACAAGCGGCGGAGCAUGUGGAUUAAUUCGAUGCAACGCGAAGACCCUUACCUGGGUUUGACAUACACCAGACGCAGCCAGAGAUGGUUGUUCCCUUGUGGUUGGUGUACAGGUGGUGCAUGGCUGUCGUCAGCUCGUGUCGUGAGAUGUUGGGUUAAGUCCCGCAACGAGCGCAACCCUUGUCCUGUAUUGCCAGCGGGUUAUGCCGGGGACUUGCAGGAGACUGCCGGGGUCAACUCGGAGGAAGGUGGGGAUGACGUCAAGUCAUCAUGCCCCUUAUGUCCAGGGCUUCACACAUGCUACAAUGGCCGGUACAGAGGGCUGCGAUACCGUGAGGUGGAGCGAAUCCCUUAAAGCCGGUUUCAGUUCGGAUCGGGGUCUGCAACUCGACCCCGUGAAGUGGGAGUCGCUAGUAAUCGCAGAUCAGCAACGCUGCGGUGAAUACGUUCCCGGCCCUUGUACACACCGCCCGUCACGUCAUGAAAGUCGGUAACACCCGAAGCCGGUAGCCUAACUCCUCGGAGGAGCCGUCGUAGAGAGAUAACAAGGGAC
RNAcentral lists this ribosomal RNA (825 nucleotides) under Gordonia sp. WS_14LB. Its description in RNAcentral is "bacterial SSU rRNA". It matches the Rfam family "Bacterial small subunit ribosomal RNA", at positions 652 to 1476 of the family's 1533-position model. Lineage: Bacteria; Bacillati; Actinomycetota; Actinomycetes; Mycobacteriales; Gordoniaceae. The record is from RNAcentral.